This 487-nucleotide unclassified non-coding RNA is filed under the name Hevea brasiliensis (rubber tree). Lineage: Eukaryota; Viridiplantae; Streptophyta; Magnoliopsida; Malpighiales; Euphorbiaceae. The record is from RNAcentral.
UAGCCCUUUUGAGUACUAGAAUAUCCUAUAAACACACAUUUAAGAGCUCUAUGUUCUAAUUUCUCAAUAUUUGUUUUGUGGAUAAAGCACAUGUUCAAAAAUUUUUUAGGAACAGUAUAAGAAUUAUGAUAUUGUAAAAACUUUAAAGGGCUUUUACAGUUCAGUAUUCUCAGAGGCAUUCUAUUGAUAAUAUAUGUUGCAGCAAAAACUGCAUCCUCCUAAUAAGAUAUAGGAAGAUUUAUAGUAAACAUAAAGAUCGAGCCACCUCUAAUAAAUAUCCCUUUUUUUUUAUUUUUCAGACAACCCCAUUUUGUUCACUAGUAUUGACACAACUAGUUUGAUGUACUAUACUAUUUGAAUCCAAAUAAGUAUGAAAAACACCAUUAAUAUAUUGUGUCAUUAUCAUUUUUUAAGAUUUUAACCUUACCAUCUAAAAGUAACAUCUAUACUGACAAAAUAUUUUAUAGUAGGAGGAUGAUAACACUUG